Molecule: small RNA, 125 nt
Filed under: Marmota monax (woodchuck)
Lineage: Eukaryota; Metazoa; Chordata; Mammalia; Rodentia; Sciuridae
Source: RNAcentral
GCCUGGCAUAGUGGCACAUGCCUGUAAUCCCAGCAACUCGGGAGGCUGAGUCAGGAGGAUCUUGAGUUCAAAGCCAGACUUCACAAAAGUGAGGCACUUAGCAACUCACUGAGACCCUGUCUCUA